GCCUUUUUCUGUUUCAGCAUGGAACCAAAGGGAGGACUCAAACCCUGUAAUAGCACAGAUAUAAGAACUACAGUCUUCAGUGAGGGGACCCCAAUCUUCCUUGGCCAGUUCUGACUCAGGCAUUGCUUAGACACGUGCACAGAUCUCUGUCAGGAUGGUGUUUGGUUGUAGAGUAAUUGAGAGGAGGACUCUGAAUUUGGUCAGCCCCCGUGGCCACUACUGUGCCUCUUCCCUCCCUCUGCAUCAGCCCUCACAGCCCAGCAGAAAUUCCUCAGCAUCCUUCAGAUGUCAGCUGACAGCAUUCCUUGCUUCCUCUCAUGGACUUGGUCAGCACCUGGAUGAUGGCAUUCCGUGCGCCUGGGCUGUCCUGUUAUCCUGGGAAGCAGAGCCUGGAUGCCACAUGCUAGCCCAAGUUCAGGUGUACACAGGCCUGUAGAGCCCUGGUCACUGCCAGC
Molecule: long non-coding RNA, 455 nt
Organism: Vidua macroura (Pin-tailed whydah)
Lineage: Eukaryota; Metazoa; Chordata; Aves; Passeriformes; Viduidae
Exons: 5
Source: RefSeq, a predicted model, not a curated record